This 497-nucleotide ribosomal RNA is filed under the name uncultured bacterium. RNAcentral describes it as "partial 16S ribosomal RNA". It matches the Rfam family "Bacterial small subunit ribosomal RNA", at positions 28 to 507 of the family's 1533-position model. The record is from RNAcentral.
GAUGAACGCUGACGGCGUGCCUAAUACAUGCAAGUCGAGCGAACGGACGAGAAGCUUGCUUCUCUGAUGUUAGCGGCGGACGGGUGAGUAACACGUGGAUAACCUACCUAUAAGACUGGGAUAACUUCGGGAAACCGGAGCUAAUACCGGAUAAUAUUUUGAACCGCAUGGUUCAAAAGUGAAAGACGGUCUUGCUGUCACUUAUUGAUGGAUCCGCGCUGCAUUAGCUAGUUGGUAAGGUAACGGCUUACCAAGGCAACGAUGCAUAGCCGACCUGAGAGGGUGAUCGGCCACACUGGAACUGAGACACGGUCCAGACUCCUACGGGAGGCAGCAGUAGGGAAUCUUCCGCAAUGGGCGAAAGCCUGACGGAGCAACGCCGCGUGAGUGAUGAAGGUCUUCGGAUCGUAAAACUCUGUUAUUAGGGAAGAACAUAUGUGUAAGUAACUGUGCACAUCUUGACGGUACCUAAUCAGAAAGCCACGGCUAACUACGUG